RNAcentral lists this ribosomal RNA (429 nucleotides) under Chloroflexota bacterium. RNAcentral describes it as "Chloroflexi bacterium partial 16S ribosomal RNA". It matches the Rfam family "Bacterial small subunit ribosomal RNA", at positions 355 to 776 of the family's 1533-position model. The record is from RNAcentral. Lineage: Bacteria; Bacillati; Chloroflexota.
UGGGGAAUAUUGCACAAUGGGCGCAAGCCUGAUGCAGCCAUGCCGCGUGUAUGAAGAAGGCCUUCGGGUUGUAAAGUACUUUCAGCGGGGAGGAAGGGAGUAAAGUUAAUACCUUUGCUCAUUGACGUUACCCGCAGAAGAAGCACCGGCUAACUCCGUGCCAGCAGCCGCGGUAAUACGGAGGGUGCAAGCGUUAAUCGGAAUUACUGGGCGUAAAGCGCACGCAGGCGGUUUGUUAAGUCAGAUGUGAAAUCCCUGGGCUCAACCUGGGAACUGCAUCUGAUACUGGCAAGCUUGAGUCUCGUAGAGGGGGGUAGAAUUCCAGGUGUAGCGGUGAAAUGCGUAGAGAUCUGGAGGAAUACCGGUGGCGAAGGCGGCCCCCUGGACGAAGACUGACGCUCAGGUGCGAAAGCGUGGGGAGCAAACAGG